Long non-coding RNA from Astyanax mexicanus (Mexican tetra), 676 nucleotides. RefSeq lists it as uncharacterized. The transcript has 3 exons. The record is from RefSeq and is a predicted model, not a curated record. Lineage: Eukaryota; Metazoa; Chordata; Actinopteri; Characiformes; Acestrorhamphidae.
AUUCACAUUUGUUUAGGUAACUGGUUCUUACAUAAACUGUUCUUAAACCUUUUUUUAAUUAACAUGUAGCUUAAAUCAAUUGAAUUGAAAGUGAGGCAGCCGGUGUCGCUUAAUCCUUUAUUGACAUACAAAAAAUAUGUAAUUAAAUAUGAGUUUGAAAUAUCGGCCAAAUCUAAGAAAUUAUAUUUUAAUGAUGUUUCCAAAAAAAAAGCAAUUACUGUCCGAUACCGAUAUAUCGUGGUGAAUCCCUAAGAUAAAUAGAUGAUACAUUCUUAAUUUAUCACACUUGUAAUUGUAAAUUGCAAAUUAUAUAUGUAAAUUAUUUCUGUCUACUGGUUUGAAGUUUGGCGUUGUGAAUUGAGAUGAUUUAGAAUUUAAAAUCCUAAGUUUUUUAUAUAAAUGCACAUUAUUUUUUUCAAAGUUGCCCAAUAAGCCCUAAUAGUCAUAACUCGAAACCUUGAAACUUUGUUUUUGGCGCCGCCUUGUGACUGCAACCCUCAAAGCAAGAAAACAGAACAGGUCAUCAAUCCAGAAUCACUGGUUGCAGGGCAGGAAUAGCUCAUGGACAGGGCAGCAGUCUAGUACAGGUGUGUGAGCACGAGCAGGUAGUUAUUGAUGCUGCGGUCCAAACGCUCCAGCAGGUUCAGCCCACAGCCCAACUGGCUCUGAUCCCGGG